UUUUUUUUUUUUUUUGGUAAGAAAGUACCUCUACUUACUACUCAAAGAGGGAUUUAGUCUUUCUGUCAACCUGCCGGAGUUUGCUCUGGUGUUUGUGGCUGUGGGGAAGAGAGAAGAAAAAACACGUCGGAGUUUUGGGAGCAACACGUGUCGUGGUUGAAUGGCACCGGAUUGACGUUCCUACAGUGGGAAGGCCAAUAACAUACAAUUCCAUGAUAAAGAGGGUCAGGCCAAAAUCCCCUCCAUCCCAUUGAUAUUGCAUACUUUCUUUGUUGGAUGGUUCUAAAUUAUUUGUCAUUUAUAUAAAUUAGUUGAUAUAUUUCUAUUUAAUUUCUUCAUUUAGUCAUUUACUCCUCAGGCACUCCGUAAAAGUUCAAUGCAUGUUUUUUUUUUUUGAGUCCACGUACUAUUAUCAAGAAAGUAAAACAACUACUUUUUUGUAGUAUGUAACAGUUAUCAAGUAAUUAAAAUCACAACAAUCUAAGAUUUGGUAAAACUUUCAAAUAUCUAAGAUUUUCCACAAAACCUAGGAUUGAACAAAUAUCAUAGCCCCACAAUUCUUUAUGAGUUAGAAACUACACAUCAAGUUUCAAAUUCUAUCCACUAUUAAUAAAAAUUGUAAUUCUUGAACUGCGACAAACUUUAUAAGAUGUAAGGAGCAAUAUUUACUGCAUACAUAUACAUGUAUUGUUUCUUGGCUUGAUUUGUCCUCAUAAAUAAGAUCAUUGCAUCGAUUUUGGUGAAGAAAAACAAUUAGUCGAAGCUCAAACUGCAACUAUUAUAACAUCUUCAACAAUUACAAUAGUGUCAAGAAAGACACCACGUAAAAUGUUGUUUAUUAGGCACUUACAAUAUUGCAAAGUAAGGUAAAUUACAAUAUGACGGUAAAUUACUGCAUCAUAAAUACGCUUCUGAAAGUACAGGCUUUAUUCGUACGCGCCCAGCUUAAAAUCUAUUUGUUCUCUGAAAUCUCCAUGUGCAAUCCCUUGGGGUAACGAAUACCAGUAG
Molecule: long non-coding RNA, 1008 nt
Filed under: Coffea arabica (coffee)
Lineage: Eukaryota; Viridiplantae; Streptophyta; Magnoliopsida; Gentianales; Rubiaceae
Description: long non-coding RNA (CARA_LNC001800)
Source: RNAcentral